Molecule: ribosomal RNA, 494 nt
Filed under: uncultured bacterium
Lineage: Bacteria
Description: partial 16S ribosomal RNA
Rfam family: Bacterial small subunit ribosomal RNA
Source: RNAcentral
GACGAACGCUGGCGGCGUGCUUAACACAUGCAAGUCGAACGGAAAGGCCUGCUUUCCCUUGUGGAUUGCGGGUACUCGAGUGGCGAACGGGUGAGUAACACGUGAGUGAUCUGCCCCCAACUUGGGUAUAAGCCUGGGAAACUGGGUCUAAUUCCCGAUAGGACUGCAGGGUGGUGCCUGUGGUGGAAAACGAUUUUCUAGUGGUUGGGGAUGAGCUCGCGGCCUAUCAGCUUGUUGGUGGGGUAAUGGCCUACCAAGGCGGCGACGGGUAGCCGGCCAGGGAGGGUGGACGGCCAAAUUGGGACUGAGAUACGGCCCAGACUCCUACGGGAGGAAGCAGUCGGGAAGAUUGAACGAUGGGCGGAAGCCUGAUGCCGCGACGCCGAGUGGGGGAUGACGGCCUUCGGGUUGUGACCUCCUUUCGACCGCGAGGAAGCCACCUGGUUGGAAGGGUGGUGACGGUAGUGGUAGAAGAAGCACCGGCUAACUACGUG